CGAGUUGACCAGACAAUCGCUGCUUUAUCAAAGUAUCAGAUGUGCAAACUGAAGAUAUAUAGAUAGAGGGGAGGAAAGUCCGGGCUCCAAUGAGCAGGGUGCCAGGUAACGCCUGGGCGGCGUGAGCCGACGACAAGUGCAGCAGAGAGAAGACCGCCGAUGGUUGUUCUUAGGAACUUCACAGGUAAGGCUGAAAGGGUGCGGUAAGAGCGCACCGGAUUGCUGGUAACAGUAAUUGCAGGGUAAACUCCACCCGGAGCAAGACCAAAUAGGGUUUCAUGACUGUUCGAGCGUAAGUUUAAAUAGUAUAAGCGUGGUUCGCGUGGAAACCGGGUAGGUUGCUUGAGCCUUAGAGCGAUUUAAGGCCUAGACGAAUGAUUGUCACUCUUUUUCGAAAGAGAUACAAAACCCGGCUUAUACGGUCAACUCGACUA
This 434-nucleotide RNase P RNA is filed under the name Colwellia sp. MB3u-64. Its description in RNAcentral is "RNase P RNA component class A". It matches the Rfam family "Bacterial RNase P class A". From Rfam's summary of the family: Ribonuclease P (RNase P) is a ubiquitous endoribonuclease, found in archaea, bacteria and eukarya as well as chloroplasts and mitochondria. Its best characterised activity is the generation of mature 5'-ends of tRNAs by cleaving the 5'-leader elements of precursor-tRNAs. The record is from RNAcentral. Lineage: Bacteria; Pseudomonadati; Pseudomonadota; Gammaproteobacteria; Alteromonadales; Colwelliaceae. RNAcentral also lists the same sequence under 6 other names.